UACGUAGGGUGCAGGCGUUAAUCGGAAUUACUGGGCGUAAAGCGUGCGCAGGCGGCUCCUUAAGUCAGAUGUGAAAGCCCCGGGCUUAACCUGGGAACUGCGUUUGAAACUGGGGAGCUAGAGUGUAGAAGAGGGGGGUGGAAUUCCAGGUGUAGUGGUGAAAUGCGUAGAUAUCGGGAGGAACACCAGUGGCGAAGGCGACUACCUGGCCUGUUCUUGACGCUGAGGCGCGAAAGCUAGGGGAGCAAACGGG
Molecule: ribosomal RNA, 253 nt
Filed under: uncultured bacterium
Lineage: Bacteria
Description: partial 16S ribosomal RNA
Rfam family: Bacterial small subunit ribosomal RNA
Source: RNAcentral